This 231-nucleotide ribosomal RNA is filed under the name uncultured bacterium. RNAcentral's name for it is "partial 16S ribosomal RNA". It matches the Rfam family "Bacterial small subunit ribosomal RNA", at positions 15 to 236 of the family's 1533-position model. The record is from RNAcentral.
GAUCCUGGCUCAGGAUGAACGCUGGCGGCGUGCUUAACACAUGCAAGUCGAACGAAGCACUUCAUAAAGCUUGCUUUAAGAAGUGACUUAGUGGCGGACGGGUGAGUAACGCGUGGGUAACCUGCCUUACACAGGGGGAUAACAGUUAGAAAUGACUGCUAAUACCGCAUAAAACAGCAGAGUCGCAUGACUCAACUGUAAAAGAUUUAUCGGUGUAAGAUGGACGCGCGU